GCUCAGAUUGAACGCUGGCGGCAGGCCUAACACAUGCAAGUCGAGCGGUAGCACAGAGAGCUUGCUCUCGGGUGACGAGCGGCGGACGGGUGAGUAAUGUCUGGGAAACUGCCUGAUGGAGGGGGAUAACUACUGGAAACGGUAGCUAAUACCGCAUAACGUCGCAAGACCAAAGUGGGGGACCUUCGGGCCUCAUGCCAUCAGAUGUGCCCAGAUGGGAUUAGCUAGUAGGUGGGGUAACGGCUCACCUAGGCGACGAUCCCUAGCUGGUCUGAGAGGAUGACCAGCCACACUGGAACUGAGACACGGUCCAGACUCCUACGGGAGGCAGCAGUGGGGAAUAUUGCACAAUGGGCGCAAGCCUGAUGCAGCCAUGCCGCGUGUAUGAAGAAGGCCUUCGGGUUGUAAAGUACUUUCAGCGGGGAGGAAGGCGAUAAGGUUAAUAACCUUGUCGAUUGACGUUACCCGCAGAAGAAGCACCGGCUAU
RNAcentral lists this ribosomal RNA (487 nucleotides) under Klebsiella pneumoniae. RNAcentral's name for it is "bacterial SSU rRNA". It matches the Rfam family "Bacterial small subunit ribosomal RNA", at positions 22 to 500 of the family's 1533-position model. Lineage: Bacteria; Pseudomonadati; Pseudomonadota; Gammaproteobacteria; Enterobacterales; Enterobacteriaceae. The record is from RNAcentral.